RNAcentral lists this ribosomal RNA (402 nucleotides) under Aeromonas hydrophila. Its description in RNAcentral is "bacterial SSU rRNA". It matches the Rfam family "Bacterial small subunit ribosomal RNA", at positions 45 to 443 of the family's 1533-position model. Lineage: Bacteria; Pseudomonadati; Pseudomonadota; Gammaproteobacteria; Aeromonadales; Aeromonadaceae. The record is from RNAcentral.
GGCUACACAUGCAAGUCGAGCGGCAGCGGGAAAGUAGCUUGCUACUUUUGCCGGCGAGCGGCGGACGGGUGAGUAAUGCCUGGGGAUCUGCCCAGUCGAGGGGGAUAACUACUGGAAACGAUAGCUAAUACCGCAUACGCCCUACGGGGGAAAGCAGGGGACCUUCGGGCCUUGCGCGAUUGGAUGAACCCAGGUGGGAUUAGCUAGUUGGUGAGGUAAUGGCUCACCAAGGCGACGAUCCCUAGCUGGUCUGAGAGGAUGAUCAGCCACACUGGAACUGAGACCCGGUCCUGACUCCUGCGGGAGGCAGCAGUGGGGAAUAUUGCACAAUGGGGGAAACCCUGAUGCAGCCAUGCCGCGUGUGUGAAGAAGGCCUUCGGGUUGUAAAGCACUUUCAGCGAG